RNAcentral lists this ribosomal RNA (253 nucleotides) under uncultured bacterium. RNAcentral's name for it is "partial 16S ribosomal RNA". It matches the Rfam family "Bacterial small subunit ribosomal RNA", at positions 524 to 776 of the family's 1533-position model. The record is from RNAcentral.
UACGGGGGGGGCAAGCGUUGUUCGGAAUUACUGGGCGUAAAGGGCGCGUAGGCGGCCUGCUAAGUCGGACGUGAAAUCCCUCGGCUCAACCGGGGAACUGCGUCCGAUACUGGUGGGCUCGAAUCCGGGAGAGGGAUGUGGAAUUCCAGGUGUAGCGGUGAAAUGCGUAGAUAUCUGGAGGAACACCGGUGGCGGAGGCGGCAUCCUGGACCGGUAUUGACGCUGAUGCGCGAAAGCCAGGGGAGCAAACGGG